RNAcentral lists this non-coding RNA (569 nucleotides) under Pongo abelii (Sumatran orangutan). The record is from RNAcentral. Lineage: Eukaryota; Metazoa; Chordata; Mammalia; Primates; Hominidae.
AGCCCGUGGUUCAGGUGGCCGGUCGGGCUGGAAGGGCAGGGAUGAGGGAUGGGACUCAUCCCAGGGGAUGCUCCUCCAAAGCUUUUAUCAGGCGAGUGCAGUGGCUCGCGCCUGUAAUUCCUGCACUUUGGGAGGCUAAGGGUCUCACUCUGUUGUCUAGGCUCAAAUGCAGCGACCUGAUCAUGGAUCAAUGCAGUCCUCAACUUACUGGGCUCAGAGACGGGGUUUCACCAUAUUGGCCAGGCUGGUCUUGAACUCCUGACCUUGUGAUCCACCCCACCUUGGCCUCCCAAAGUGCUGGGAUUACAGGACUAAAGGCUUCUUAGCACAAACACCACCCCUGGAGUUCCCAGUACAUCAAUACCAGCCUGGGGAUCACGUUCUCAUCAAGAGUUGGAAGAGGGAAAGCUUGAACCAGCUUAGGAGGACCUUAUCUGGUACUCUUGAUGAAUGAAACAGCAAUCUGAAUGGCUGAAAAAGGAUGGACCCAGCAUAUGCGGGGAGAAAACUUGGCAUUCUUUGGGAAUCUAACAGGAUGCAGUGAACCCAAGCCUUUUCAAGAGCUCAAC